AAACAUGCAAGAGAAUACAGCUAUAGUUACUCUGGACUGCCAUGAUAGAAACAUUGAAACAGAUAUUGACUGGCUUUAGGUUUUUAUUGGUGUUGCAAACGAUGAAACGAUCACUAAAUUCUGUGCCUAUGUGAGAUUUGUUGGUUCAUCGAAUAACAUCAAACUUACAGUAAGGUAAACGGUCAAGCAAAGUGUGCAAGGUCGUUGAUGGAGUAUUCCAUGUGAAAUCCUCUCACCAGUCUGAGCCCCACCAACUGAACAUCAGAGGACCAACUUGCACCUGCAGAAACUUCAGCAGGACUCACAUCCCCUGCAGACAUAUUUUUCAAUCUAUCGAUGAUGGUUUAAUGAAAUGGGAGGACCAACCUGAAGAUUACAGAAACAUACCGUUCUUCGUAAAAGAUAAAGGAAGUGAUAUUGGGAUAUGGCCAGCUGAUGCAGAUGUAAACAAAUGCUGCGAUUAUCCAGCAUCAGAAGACGAGGAUGAAGAAGUAGAAGAUGAUGAGGUUGGAGGAAAUGGGGAUAAAAGAAAGAAGAAACG
This is a long non-coding RNA of Bolinopsis microptera, 541 nucleotides long. RefSeq lists it as uncharacterized. The transcript is spliced from 4 exons. The record is from RefSeq and is a predicted model, not a curated record. Lineage: Eukaryota; Metazoa; Ctenophora; Tentaculata; Lobata; Bolinopsidae.